GCAUGCGCGUGGGGUGCGGCGGGGGGAAAGCGUGGUGGGAGGGCGUUGUCCGGGGUUAUUGGGGGGAAAGAGUGCGGAGGCGGUUCGGUAAGGCGGGUGUGAAAGCUCCACGCGCAACGGGGAGGGGCCACUCGAUACUGCCGUGACUCGAGGCCGGUAGAGGAGUGUGGAAUUCCCGGUGUAGCGGUGAAAUGCGCAGAUAUCGGGAGGAACACCAGUAGCGAAGGCGGCACUCUGGGCCGGUACUGACGCUGGGAGCGAAAGCGUGGGGAGCAAACAGGAUUAGAUACCCGUGUAGUC
RNAcentral lists this ribosomal RNA (300 nucleotides) under uncultured Sulfophobococcus sp. RNAcentral describes it as "bacterial SSU rRNA". The stretch from base 56 to 300 matches the Rfam family "Bacterial small subunit ribosomal RNA", at positions 551 to 795 of the family's 1533-position model. Lineage: Archaea; Thermoproteati; Thermoproteota; Thermoprotei; Desulfurococcales; Desulfurococcaceae. The record is from RNAcentral.